UACAGAGGCCCCAAGCAUUAUCCGGAAUCACUGGGCGUAAAGGGUGUCGAGGCGGUCAUAUUAGUCGGUCGUAAAAUCCGCGAGCUUAACUUGCGGUCCGCGACCGAAACGGUAUGACUUGAGAGUUGGAGAGGUGCGUGGAACUCACGGUGUAGGGGUGAAAUCCGUUGAUAUCGUGGGGAACACCAAAGGCGAAGGCAGCGCACUGGCCAAUUUCUGACGCUCACACACGAAAGCUAGGGUAGCGAACGGG
Molecule: ribosomal RNA, 253 nt
Filed under: uncultured bacterium
Lineage: Bacteria
Description: partial 16S ribosomal RNA
Rfam family: Bacterial small subunit ribosomal RNA
Source: RNAcentral